CCCUUAGAUGUUCUGGGCUGCACGCGCGCUACACUGAUGCGCUCAACGAGUUUUAACCUUGCCUGGAAAGGUUGGGUAAUCUUUUUAAAACGCAUCGUGAUGGGGAUAGAUUAUUGCAAUUAUUAAUCUUCAACGAGGAAUGCCUAGUAGGCGCAAGUCAUCAGCUUGCGUCGAUUACGUCCCUGCCCUUUGUACACACCGCCCGUCGCUCCUACCGAUUGGGUGUGCUGGUGAAAUGUUCGGAUCGGCCGUUUGUCGCGGUUUCCGCGUCAUGUGGCUGAGAAGUUCAUUAAACCCUCCCACCUAGAGGAAGGAGAAGUCGUAACA
Molecule: ribosomal RNA, 327 nt
Filed under: uncultured eukaryote
Lineage: Eukaryota
Description: partial 18S ribosomal RNA
Rfam family: Eukaryotic small subunit ribosomal RNA
Source: RNAcentral